GUCGUUUGACAGUUUGACAUAUGUCAUUUGAUAAUUUGACAAUUAAAAAAAGAAAUAUUAAAUACAGUUAAAUAUAUUUAAUAAAUAUAGAAAGAAAGAGGAAAAGGAAAGACGAAUAAAAGAAAGCUAAAGAAGAGAGGAAGAAUAAGAAAAAGAAAAUUACAGAGAGAGGGAGAGAAAGAGAAAAAAGAAAAAAGAAAAACGUGUUAUUUAAAAUUAAAAGAGAGGUAAUAUAAGCAAAAGAGAGGGAGAAAGAGAGAGAGAGAAAGAGAGGAGGAAAAUAAAAGAAGAAGGCAUAGAAUAUCAGUUAAAAAAGGGACAAAGAAUAGAAAAGAGAAAGAGAUAUAGAAAGGGAGAAGAAAAGAGAGAGAAGAUAGAAAAAGAAGGAAUAAUUUUAUUUAAAAUUAAAGAAGCUACUGAAACAUAUCAAGGUUUAAAAGAUUAUAUACAAACUAUGGCGAAUAACUUAUAAAUGGACUUGGUAUUGGAAAAAUGAUUGUACUUCCUUCUACGAUUACUGGAUCGCCGCGUAACAUGUUACAAAAUUAUCAAGACGCAAUGGCAAUUGUUAGUA
This is a long non-coding RNA of Cataglyphis hispanica, 574 nucleotides long. RefSeq lists it as uncharacterized. The transcript is spliced from 3 exons. NCBI's taxonomy places the organism in Eukaryota, Metazoa, Arthropoda, Insecta, Hymenoptera, Formicidae. The record is from RefSeq and is a predicted model, not a curated record.